GGGCCGUUGGCGCAGUUGGUAGCGCGCAUCGCUGGCAGCGAUGAGGUCACCGGUUCGAACCCGGUACGGUCCA
RNAcentral lists this transfer RNA (73 nucleotides) under Candidatus Microgenomates bacterium. RNAcentral's name for it is "tRNA-Ala". It matches the Rfam family "tRNA". From Rfam's summary of the family: Transfer RNA (tRNA) molecules are approximately 80 nucleotides in length. Their secondary structure includes four short double-helical elements and three loops (D, anti-codon, and T loops). The record is from RNAcentral. Lineage: Bacteria; Candidatus Microgenomatota.